UUCAUAAAAGUUUCAAGGUGCUUUUCUUUGGUUAAAAAGUUUGCAUUGCUGGGUUUUGAGGUUGGUUCUUUCUGAGUCCCUCACUGGUAUCUCGCUGUUGUUCGGUUGUUGUUAUUGGCUCUAUUAUUGCUGUGAUUAGUAGCUCGCGGAAAGUAGAGAACAUCACUACUGGUUAUCUAAUUUUUUUCUGCCACUAGGUAUGUCUCUCAACUUGUAAUGUGAGUUUGUUUAUCAUGAAUGAAUGCUGAAAUUUUUGCCCCCCCUACCUAAUUGCCUUUAGUUACUUCACAUGAAUAUUUGGUUUGUUGUACUUCUUUGAUUUGGGACUACGCUACUAUAUUUAGUUGUGUAUAUGCCUAACAUGAUAAUGAUAUAUAGUUUCAAAUCUUUUAAGUCUCAAGUACAAUAAGAAUAGUGUCGCCAUGUUAUUUAGUACUAAAAGUGUUACCGGAAGUUUUUGUAUUUUGGUCAAAACGUAAAAUUUUAGCCAUAGUUGCCCAACAAUAUAUUCUUGAGGUCCUUUCCAUGUUAGCCAGUCAAUAGGACGGUUUGAUGAUUUCAAAUAAACCAACAGUAAGUUAAAACUUGUUUAGUAGAGUGCAAGGUGGCUAUCAAGUUUAGGCUUUGAAUGUAUAAAAAAUUUCAGAGGUGGAAGUGGAGAGGUCAUUUACAUUUUCGUUCAUUCCUUAUCAGUGAAGUCAUUGACUAAUUGUCUUGAAUUUCAUGGAUAUUACAACGAGUACUGUGUUGCAUUAGUUGAGUUCUUUUUUUUUUUUUUCUUUUUUUUUUUUUUUUUUUAAAGUUGAGUCCUUGAAAUAAGUAUUUUGUUUUUUUUAUAUGGCAUAUAUCCAAAUUAAAGUUUCAGUAUUAAGUAUGUCUUGGUAGAUUCUUCUGGUUUAGUUUUAUUUCGCUACUAAUUUUAUUGUCACAUAGUGCCUUAGUUUUAGAUCAUAGGUGUUUAGCUCUAAGGUUUGUAUCUAUUUGACUAGAUGUUGAUGGACUAAAAUUUGAAGGUUUGGGAUAUUUAAUUUGAAAUGGUUGAAGUGUUUCCCGUUUGUUCCCUACUGUUAGACCCUUGACAAAGCUGAUCGGCAAGCGGCACGGUAGUAGUAAGGAUUUGGCAUGAUGGCCUUGCCAUUGGCCUAUGUGCGGGGGAAAUCAACAUGCAAGACAAUGUGGGUGUUGUCAAUGGCAACAAACUGUUGCAAGGGCAAGUGUGACGGACUACACUUCUAUUUGACGGCUAUGGUAUGACGGACUACACCAAAACAUGAGUGGGUUGCGUGCAAGCAAAGGCCAAGACCUUGACGGAACUAGGCAGGCUGGACGGAAGCUUGACAAGGCAAAACGGGAAAGACCUCGACGCUAAAAUGGGGCAGUUUAGUGCCAAGGUAGUGGCAUUGGCAAUAUAAUGUUUCCAUGACUUAGGUGAGCGGGCUGACACCUAAGGAACUUGUGGGCAGACUUGAUCAAGUAGAGGCGACUUGACAUGAGCGGGCUAAGUACCUAGG
Molecule: long non-coding RNA, 1511 nt
Filed under: Nicotiana tabacum (common tobacco)
Lineage: Eukaryota; Viridiplantae; Streptophyta; Magnoliopsida; Solanales; Solanaceae
Description: long non-coding RNA (NTAB_LNC009578)
Source: RNAcentral